CCUACGGGGGGCAGCAGUGAGGAAUAUUGGUCAAUGGGCUUACGCCUGAACCAGCCAAGUCGCGUGAGGGAAGACUGCCCUAUGGGUUGUAAACCUCUUUUGUCAGGGAGCAACGCCGGCUACGUGUAGCCGGACUGAGAGUACCUGAAGAAAAAGCAUCGGCUAACUCCGUGCCAGCAGCCGCGGUAAUACGGGGGAUGCGAGCGUUACCCGGAUUUUUUGGGUUUAAAGGGUGCGUAGGCGGAAUGCAAAGUCACCGGUAAAAUCGCGGGGCUCAACCUCGCUCCGCCGUUGAAACUGGCGUUCUUGAGGGGGCGAGAAGUAUGCGGAAGGCGUGGUGUAGCGGGGAAAUGCAUAGAUAUCACGCAGAACUCCGAUUGCGAAGGCAGCAUACCGGCGCCCAACUGACGCUGAAGCACGAAAGCGUGGGUAUCGAACAGGAUUAGAUACCCUGGUAGUC
Molecule: ribosomal RNA, 460 nt
Filed under: uncultured bacterium
Lineage: Bacteria
Description: partial 16S ribosomal RNA
Rfam family: Bacterial small subunit ribosomal RNA
Source: RNAcentral